CACACAUUGUGCACCGCGGGACCCCACCAGCUACGGCGCGAAGGCACAACUCUCAAGGACAUCGUAAACUGGGGCAGAGAACUUCCUAGCUUCCCACGGCUACAGUAGACAAAGAAGAAUCUUAACUGAAAAUGGAGAUGACAGCUUCCGGUUUUACCUACUACUUAUCCUCUGCGUGACUAUAAGUUUCCCGACUCAAGAACUUCCAUAGACACAUGAGUGUUUGCAAUGGUGCUUACAAGUGUGUGCAUUUCCAUGGUUUUACAAAGUUGGAUCUCCUCUAGUUCAAGAGUCAUGGGGAACCUUCCAGGGCAUAGUGUACACCGGUAAAGAAGUCAUACACCAAGAACCUCACUCUACGAAGACUUAUUUCACUUGUUCAUUUUAGUGGAGAAAAGGUCUUCAACGGUUUUCUUGAAGUCAUUCCAGGUGGUCUUCAUAAGGCAGCUUCGUUAACAAUUCUAUUCAUCUCUGUAUGACGAGAACAGCGUAUUUAAUGACAUUUCAAAGAGACACUACGGUGAUAAACGAUAAACAACAUCCAACGUAUAGAGGUGCUUUAAUUCUACAGGGCCCAGCCCAGCCAUGGACACGGUGUUCUUUCUCCUCCUCACCCCCUUUCCACCUCCCUCCUCCCCCCUCAGGAGCACAGGAUGUCAGUGGGUCAACAGCCCCUCUUUCUUCUCAUCACAGGGAGCUGAAAAACACUGUGUCGAGAUGGCGUACCCCCUACUAGACCUGGCCACAUCGACCCGUGCCACCAACCUGGCCCUCUAAUGGAAGUCCUGGGCAUCCAGAUGCCUCUCCCUGCCUCUGCCUGUCCCUCCCGCCUCGACGGGGGCGUCAAGUAGGGCACUACUCUUCUUCCCAACCAGCAGGCACCCUCUACCAUUCUCAAACUCCAUUCCUUCUCCCCAGGCCAGCCUUUUUGGGAACAUUACAGGCAGAUGUGUUCAGAUGAGCAUGUUCUAAUUUAUUAGCCAGGUUAAUGCUCGGCCAGAGGCCCUGGAGGAUCAAUGGUUUUAUUUACCUAAAAUGCCUGCGUGGCGAGAGGCGGUUCACAGGGCAGUUUUAAUACCGCCAGCACCCCAGUGUGUCCCAGUGAGGACUGGGCCGUAUUGAUCGCACCACACUGAAAGUACGUGCACCUUUUGGGGAAGGAUCUAUUUGUGUCACCCUGGGCUGAGAUGAGGGCUCCGCCGGAGGAGGAGAGAGCCCAGCCAAUGGAGGAUGCCAAAAACAUCAAAACAGCCAUGUUUACAGAUUACCCAAAGGGAAAGCAAAUUACUCCAAUUAUGCAGGCUGUGGGAAUACUGAUAUCAACAUACCUGCUAUUUCUCCCAGAGACACAACUUAUAUCAGGCUGGAACACAAACAAAAACAGCACACUGUUCAUUUGAGUUGAUAGCUAAACUGCAACAAACAUGGUGUGGUUGGUUUUAACGAAGCAAAGAGCUGCACAUCAUAUGCAUAGAAAAUCAUUCGUUGGCUACUAACUCUACCUCAAGUCACGAACACACAGUUGAUUUAUUGGUGAACAUCAUUAAACGAUGCCAACUGAUCACCUGAAAAACACCCUUACAUGCUUCCCAGAAAAUGUGACAAGAUCUAUUGUAAUAUUGUAAUACAUAUCUGUUCAUACAGAAUGCAUUUACAGAUGAUGGCCUUUGUUGUGGGCUGUAUGUGUGCCAUAUUUAUAACACAGACCGUAAUCGUCUAAAUCCUCUUCUGUUCCCCUGAGAGACCAGAGAGGAUGUUGUCAUGUCCAAUUAUCUACACUAUAGAGGUAAAUCACAACUCAUGUCAAGUCUACAAUAUUCGCUCGCACACACACACAGAUGUACACUCAACAAGGCCAAGUUGCAGAGGACAACAGAUAUUAAUAUUGAUAGAAUAUUGGAAUACACAUUCUCCUGAGGUGCUCCUGGUCAUGUAUGAAUUGGACAGGCAGAUUGGAUUGGCUGUGUUUUUUCUAAAGAUAGAUUGACGUAGACGGUUUUGAGGAGCUAGACCGAUAGAUAGAAAUUGUUUGUGGAGAAACUGUUAUGUUUAUGGAUUUUUGUGAUGGCAUGUAGGGAUUUAAAUGUAUGGCAGAUCAGGAAUACAAUCUCCUUCUGAUUGUAGGUCAGAAGAAUCAAUUGAUGUGCUUCCAGGUCACCAAGUUCCCCAACAUCUAAUAUCCCAAGUUCAACAGUCAACUAUCAUAACAAUGUUUUAUCUUUCAUCAUCCUGCAGGUUGGUUUGUGAGGGUUGCUGGUGGUUGGACUCUAUAGAGGGUAGGGUACAUUAGCCGAGAAGAACCUAGCCCCAUCUCACCCUGAAGCGGAGCAGAGCUCCGGCCCAAUAAAGCAGGCUGCCUCCCCAGGGCCCCUCUGUCAAGCCUCCAGUCAGCGCUUGUUUUUGCACCAUUUAUUUAGUGUGACACAUCUCCAAUUAAACUGUGGAGGCUGGUGCAUUUCCCCCAUAACUACCUCUUAUUCCUCCCCAUAGACUUUCUGUCACACUGAGAGACUGAGAGAGAGAGAGAGAGAGAGAGAGAGAGAGAGAGAGAGAGAGAGAGAGAGAGAAAGAAAGAAAGAGAGGAGGGAGAGAUCACAUCUUGCCUGCUAGCUAUAUGAUGACAAUGUCAUUUUCCCCUCAGUGGUUACAAGCCUCGCCUGAAAGGUGCCUUGAAUUAUAAUUAUCAAAAUAUUGAACAAGAUUAUGAUCCUCUGAAAUUAUACUGUCACCUUAAUGUUUGCUUUGCCACCCGUUGACACUUCUAUAUCUCUUUCCUUAUUUUCCAUGGAUCAAAAGGUAUUGAAUUAACACUGAUUAGAUUAUUACAUGAAAUAUUGUGAGUUGUAGGUUGUAAGAUACAGAAAAUUAUAUCUUAACUUCAUGCCAAAAACAAGUGCCAUUACUGCUACAUGUAACAGUCAUUCUUGCCAUACUGUAAAUAAAAACUUCCAACAAUUCACCGUUACCUAAAGAUUAGCAGGCUCAGACUAAACAGUGUUUAGCCUACUCAUCAAAAACCCUUUGCGGGGUUACUUUCCUCCACUAUCCUAUUGUGCUCGAAAAUUUGACUGUGAUGUGUCCGUCUUGCUGAAUUGUUAAAGUGCCCAAAAGAGAUCCGACGGUAUAUGACGGGUAUAAGGAAAGUAUUCCUCCCACCCCAUCCCCUCAUCAUCUCUCUGUCCCCUGUGGCACCAGACAGUCACAGGAGGAGUGACUUUGUACGACCCCGUUCCCGUCUGCAAGUGCGCAGCUGAGGGUGGCAGUUGCCAGGGAGGGCUGGUGGGGGAGCGCCCAAAACGGUGUGUCAGCCAAGUAGAGGGGCUAGGGGGAGCCCCAGUGACAGCUUGGAAGGGUGGGGUGGCCAGCUGUGGAGGGGCAGGAUGGUGCUGGGGUGACUGGGAGAUGCCACCAGACCUUGAGCACUGCACAUAUACAUGCGGCACACACACGUACACACAGUCUACAUGCAGAUCAUUAUAAAGGAGCGCAAACACGUUUAAGAUUUCUCUCUUACUGUCUUUCUCUUAGUGUCUGACAUCUAUAAACACCCUCUCUAACACACAAACACAUCAGCACCAGGGAAGGGUCAGGCAGUGGCCCUCUAACACCAUGUCCAGUCUGGUCACGUGCUCCGGACACACAUCUGGUGAACCAUCUGUAGCUCUCCCCCCUACUGUGCGUGACAGGUAGUCCCUCUGGAGGGGGAAGGUCAUUUUUGGUGCAAAAGUACCCGGGACUUCUGAUACAUCUGGAAUGCAGGGUGUGGUGGGAACUUACUGAGCUAAAAGUGUACAGUAAAUACAUGAACAGAUAUUCAAAACAAGAAAAUCACAAAGUAAACUUAGACAACAUUGUCUAUGUCGUUGCAUUUGAAGAACAGGGACAUUUGAAGACAAUUGCAUAAAAAUCCAACACAAGUGUAUUAAAAAAAUUCAAGCA
Molecule: long non-coding RNA, 3939 nt
Organism: Oncorhynchus tshawytscha (Chinook salmon)
Lineage: Eukaryota; Metazoa; Chordata; Actinopteri; Salmoniformes; Salmonidae
Source: Ensembl